Non-coding RNA from Plutella xylostella (diamondback moth), 1165 nucleotides. The record is from RefSeq and is a predicted model, not a curated record. NCBI's taxonomy places the organism in Eukaryota, Metazoa, Arthropoda, Insecta, Lepidoptera, Plutellidae.
AUAUUAAUACGAUUUAUACAAUAUUUUUAUUAAGUAUGAUGUUUAUUUUCCGACGGUACCAUUUUGUAGAAAACUAGUCAGGUAUUUCCUAAACUACUACUACUUAAAAUGUCAAUACAACAAAAAGACGAUCAGUUGUUUACAAUUUUCAUGACGUGCCUGAACUCCCUGAGUACGGCAUGUAAAUAUUGCAUCAAAUAAAAAAACUAGUGUUAUUCAUACUUUGUAGCCAAACACCACGAGCGUCCACCCUGACCCAUUAUGUACCUACCUAUUAUACACCUUAACGAAAUCAUAUCAUAAAAUUAUAGGGCAAACUAUUCAGUUUAGAAAAAUAACCGUCAAGUACGGGUCAGACUCUCGCAAGAAGAGUUCCGUACUAUAAUCAAUAUAUUUAGAUUCUUCAAUAUUUUUUGCCUACAGACAAUUCUUGUUUUUCAUAUUUGUUUACGUACGAAACAAAAAAUGCGGGUGGUGGUCCUCUGACCAUCCAUAAUACAUAUGCCAACAAGUAUUGAUUCUAUUCUAUUCUAUUCUCUGUGGGGGUGUAAGUACCUGCACCUAGUUCUCUCUAGUGGAGCUUUUGUGCAUCAACAAGGUCUAAACUGCCUUCCUAAGCUAGUCCGCUGCGAGUUGGUGGGUUCACAUAGGUAUCUAGAUGUGCUAAAUCUAGAUAUGCAGGUUUCCUCACGAUGUUUUCCUUCACCGUAUGAUGGUAUACAUUGUAUUUAAGUUAAAAGAACUAAUUGGUACAUGUCAGUGCCGGGAUUCGAACCCGCAUCUCUUGCGUGAGAAGCGGGCGCUUACCCGACUGAGCUAUGUACCACCGCUCCUUUAACAAGUAUGGAUAUUAUGGAUUCGAUAUCAAUUUGGAACAUACUAAGUUAUUCAAAUUUGAAGAAAUCCGUGGAAAAUAUGAAUACGAGCAAGUCUGUGUAUAUGAUAUUUUAUAUGCAGAUUGAUAAUACAACCAGGGCCAGUUAAUAUAAAUAAAAAAAUGCUGUUUAAACAGUUUACAGACAAUAAUAGCCUAAAUUAGCUUUAGGCAUUAAAAUUACGACUACAAUUUUUUUGUCUUGUUAAACUCUUUUCUUGAAGUAGGUACAUUUAACAGCGCAUCAGAUUAUUACCAACUAAAAACGUAAAUAUUUAUUUCAAAUUUCAA